This is a long non-coding RNA of Mauremys reevesii (Reeves's turtle), 535 nucleotides long. RefSeq lists it as uncharacterized. The transcript is spliced from 4 exons. The record is from RefSeq and is a predicted model, not a curated record. Lineage: Eukaryota; Metazoa; Chordata; Testudines; Geoemydidae.
UACACACACACGCUGUCUCUCUCUGCUUGUGACCACACUUGACUGUUAGACUUCGUUCCUGAUCCUGUGAUGCAACAAAUGGUGACCCCGAUGUGAUGCAACAAUCAUGCAUGCAAAUUUGAGAUCUCUAUGUCCUGCUGGUUUCAAGAGGAUGAAAAUGAAUAUCUAGUCAUGUGCAACUGAAAACCACACACAUCACGCUGACCAGAUGAUGGCCCCAUGCUGAACACAACGGUGUAACUCAUAACUCAGUUAAGGGAGGAGACAGAUGUCAGAAAGUGGAAGAUUUGGAAGAGGAUGAAAGUCUGCUACAUCAAGUUGCUUCCUGCUCAAGCAAACAUCAUUGCCAACCACUGUUUAGAAGUCAGCUGAAAAGGGCAAAAGGUGAAUUUUGGCAUCAACAAUGAUUUAUUCCAGCAAGAGAGUUUAAAUACAGGCAAUAUAUUCCUGUCACCCUGUCAAUUGUCAAAAUGUCAGUAGACUUUUAUAAUCAAUUGUUUUUGUACCUAAUGUCAGCUGUCAUCAAUCUAUGAAA